This 250-nucleotide ribosomal RNA is filed under the name uncultured bacterium. RNAcentral describes it as "partial 16S ribosomal RNA". It matches the Rfam family "Bacterial small subunit ribosomal RNA", at positions 524 to 773 of the family's 1533-position model. The record is from RNAcentral.
GACAGAGGGUGCAAACGUUGUUCGGAAUUACUGGGCAUAAAGCGCACGUAGGUGGUCCGCUAAGUCGCGUGUGAAAUCCCCCGGCUCAACCGGGGAAAUGCGCGUGAUACUGGCGGGCUUGAGAUCGGGAGGGGUGAAUGGAACUCCAGGUGGAGCGGUGAAAUGCGUAGAUAUCUGGAGGAACACCGGUGGCGAAAGCGGUUCACUGGCCCGACACUGACACUGAGGUGCGAAAGCUAGGGUAGCAAAC